Molecule: ribosomal RNA, 1069 nt
Filed under: Escherichia coli
Lineage: Bacteria; Pseudomonadati; Pseudomonadota; Gammaproteobacteria; Enterobacterales; Enterobacteriaceae
Description: partial 23S ribosomal RNA
Rfam family: Bacterial large subunit ribosomal RNA
Source: RNAcentral
AAACCAUGCACCGAAGCUGCGGCAGCGACACUAUGUGUUGUUGGGUAGGGGAGCGUUCUGUAAGCCUGUGAAGGUGUACUGUGAGGUAUGCUGGAGGUAUCAGAAGUGCGAAUGCUGACAUAAGUAACGAUAAAGCGGGUGAAAAGCCCGCUCGCCGGAAGACCAAGGGUUCCUGUCCAACGUUAAUCGGGGCAGGGUGAGUCGACCCCUAAGGCGAGGCCGAAAGGCGUAGUCGAUGGGAAACAGGUUAAUAUUCCUGUACUUGGUGUUACUGCGAAGGGGGGACGGAGAAGGCUAUGUUGGCCGGGCGACGGUUGUCCCGGUUUAAGCGUGUAGGCUGGUUUUCCAGGCAAAUCCGGAAAAUCAAGGCUGAGGCGUGAUGACGAGGCACUACGGUGCUGAAGCAACAAAUGCCCUGCUUCCAGGAAAAGCCUCUAAGCAUCAGGUAACAUCAAAUCGUACCCCAAACCGACACAGGUGGUCAGGUAGAGAAUACCAAGGCGCUUGAGAGAACUCGGGUGAAGGAACUAGGCAAAAUGGUGCCGUAACUUCGGGAGAAGGCACGCUGAUAUGUAGGUGAAGUCCCUCGCGGAUGGAGCUGAAAUCAGUCGAAGAUACCAGCUGGCUGCAACUGUUUAUUAAAAACACAGCACUGUGCAAACACGAAAGUGGACGUAUACGGUGUGACGCCUGCCCGGUGCCGGAAGGUUAAUUGAUGGGGUUAGCCGCAAGGCGAAGCUCUUGAUCGAAGCCCCGGUAAACGGCGGCCGUAACUAUAACGGUCCUAAGGUAGCGAAAUUCCUUGUCGGGUAAGUUCCGACCUGCACGAAUGGCGUAAUGAUGGCCAGGCUGUCUCCACCCGAGACUCAGUGAAAUUGAACUCGCUGUGAAGAUGCAGUGUACCCGCGGCAAGACGGAAAGACCCCGUGAACCUUUACUAUAGCUUGACACUGAACAUUGAGCCUUGAUGUGUAGGAUAGGUGGGAGGCUUUGAAGUGUGGACGCCAGUCUGCAUGGAGCCGACCUUGAAAUACCACCCUUUAAUGUUUGAUGUUCUAACGUUGACCCG